RNAcentral lists this microRNA precursor (91 nucleotides) under Otolemur garnettii (small-eared galago). RNAcentral describes it as "miRNA (ENSOGAG00000030047.1)". Lineage: Eukaryota; Metazoa; Chordata; Mammalia; Primates; Galagidae. The record is from RNAcentral.
GGGUGAGAAUGUGCGUGGAUCCUGGGGGAGGCAGAAAAGACAGUGAGCCAGCCAGUUCCCGUUCAGACACUUGCCCUCUCCUGCUCUUCUC